CCGGAAUAUAUGGCUAGUGGCGAACGGGUGAGUAAUACAUGAGGACGUAUCCUCGAGAGGGGGACAACAUUGGGAAACCGAUGCUAAUACCCCAUAAGCCGAGAGGUAAAAGGGAGCGAUCCGCUUGAGGAGCGGCUCAUGUCCUAUCAGCUAGUUGGUGAGGUAACGGCUCACCAAGGCGAAGACGGGUAGCCGGCCUGAGAGGGUGACCGGCCACACUGGAACUGAGAGACGGUUUUUACUCCUACGGGAGGCAGCAGUGGGGAAUAUUGGGCAAUGGGGGCAGCCGUGACCCAGCGACGCCGCGUGAGGGAAGAAGGCCUUAGGGUCGUAAACCUCUGUUGUGUGGGAAGAAGGAAGUGACGGUACCACACGAGGAAGUCCCGGCUAACUACGUGCCAGCAGCCGCGGUAAUACGUAGGGGACGAGCGUUGUCCGGAAUUACUG
RNAcentral lists this ribosomal RNA (447 nucleotides) under uncultured Aminobacterium sp. RNAcentral describes it as "bacterial SSU rRNA". It matches the Rfam family "Bacterial small subunit ribosomal RNA", at positions 79 to 556 of the family's 1533-position model. Lineage: Bacteria; Thermotogati; Synergistota; Synergistia; Synergistales; Aminobacteriaceae. The record is from RNAcentral.